GACUUCGUGGCCGAGCAGGUCAAGGCGGUUGCUUGCUAAGCAAUUUCCCUUUGGGAGCGCGCGUUCGAAUCGCGUCGAAGUCG
Non-coding RNA from Plasmodiophora brassicae, 83 nucleotides. The record is from Rfam. Lineage: Eukaryota; Endomyxa; Phytomyxea; Plasmodiophorida; Plasmodiophoridae.